Pleuronectes platessa (European plaice) is the source of this 787-nucleotide long non-coding RNA. RefSeq lists it as uncharacterized. The record is from RefSeq and is a predicted model, not a curated record. NCBI's taxonomy places the organism in Eukaryota, Metazoa, Chordata, Actinopteri, Pleuronectiformes, Pleuronectidae. The transcript is spliced from 3 exons.
UGAAAUGUUAAAAGAAAACAGAUACAGCAGAGAUUCAAGUAAAUGUUGGUUCAUGUAACGAUAAAUAACUGCAGAUCAAACUGUCGGUGUCCUCUGGCUUUAUUCUUGGUCUUCUGGGAUGAGUGAAGACACAAAGCAGUUCUUGUUGAAAGGAGGAGUUUACCUGGGCCGUGCUGUGAGGGGAGUGGCUGAUGGAGGAGUAGAACACAUCCUCUGCAGGGUCGACCUACACCAUGAAGACACCACAUGGACUCUUCACUUAUAUGGAUUCAUACUGACUUUACAUGAAAACCAUCGUCCAGAAACGCUGCUUCUGUGAAGCUGUAACAGUUAUUUUCAUCUUUGUAACUGACCGUGUGUUUGUGCGUCUGUGUUUUGUUCCCUGAGACGACAGGAACAGAAGAGUCGGCCUCGCAGAGAGAAGAGUCAGGUUCAUCAAAACCUCUCGUCUCCUCCACAGAGAAGGUUCUGUUUUCAUCUGCGUUCAUCUGGGUGUCUAUAGUUGGAAGGAUCACACACAAACAAAGAUGAGUUGUGGUUACAUGAAGUUUUAUUUACCUUGAUAAAAACAAUCUGGAAUAUUUAGAUGACUGAUAUUUAUGAGUGUUUGAAAUAUGGUGCAGAUCCAAAUCCAGACUAAGGGAAUUCAAACGUGGUUCCAUGAGACGAUCAGGCCUUGGAGGAGGUAUAAACUCUAUAAGUGACAUGUUAGUUACCUUUGUUUCUUCUCCAUCUGAUGAGAAUCACAACCAAUAUUAUGAUUGUGGCAAAACCCACAACCGGACCG